This 328-nucleotide long non-coding RNA is filed under the name Lathyrus oleraceus (garden pea). RNAcentral's name for it is "Pisum sativum (pea) long non-coding RNA (PSAT_LNC004839)". Lineage: Eukaryota; Viridiplantae; Streptophyta; Magnoliopsida; Fabales; Fabaceae. The record is from RNAcentral.
AUACAUGUACAAAUAAAAAACAAUUUGAAAACCACUUUCAACCCAUUUUCAAUCCAAUUCAUUCAAAACAUACCAAGCUCAUUCAUUACAUGGUCAUAAAAUAUCCAAAAUAUGAAAAAAUUACAAAAUUAGGAAAGUUUGACCAAAUGUUGACUUUGGUCAACCGUUGACUUUUUGGUCAACUUUGACCAAAGUCAACCAAAGUCCCCAAAAACCUAAAUUCCCAUCUUAAACUCUAAUCCAUCAUUCCAUUGUUCAUGCUUGCUUGAUUCCAUCAUGAUUUCUUCAUUUGCUAGUUUAUCUUUGACCAACCAUGUUCAUGUCCAUG